Molecule: small nucleolar RNA, 138 nt
Filed under: Ornithorhynchus anatinus (platypus)
Lineage: Eukaryota; Metazoa; Chordata; Mammalia; Monotremata; Ornithorhynchidae
Source: RNAcentral
CCCCCCUUAGGGUCAUGCUUGGAGAGUUCCCAGUACUCUACCAAUCUUGGCUAUGGGAGGGAGAGUCAAGCAGAGGCCUGUCCAUUCCAUUCCUAGUUUGGCCAGUGGCUAGCAAGUGGAAGGCAAUCUGCUGCAAGU